This 2798-nucleotide ribosomal RNA is filed under the name Staphylococcus aureus M0586. RNAcentral describes it as "bacterial LSU rRNA". It matches the Rfam family "Bacterial large subunit ribosomal RNA". Lineage: Bacteria; Bacillati; Bacillota; Bacilli; Caryophanales; Staphylococcaceae. The record is from RNAcentral.
UUACAUUCAUAUGUCUGGUGACUAUAGCAAGGAGGUCACACCUGUUCCCAAGAAGGCACACCCGGAGAACUGAAACAUCUUAGUACCCGGAGGAAGAGAAAGAAAAUUCGAUUCCCUUAGUAGCGGCGAGCGAAACGGGAAGAGCCCAAACCAACAAGCUUGCUUGUUGGGGUUGUAGGACACUCUAUACGGAGUUACAAAGGACGACAUUAGACGAAUCAUCUGGAAAGAUGAAUCAAAGAAGGUAAUAAUCCUGUAGUCGAAAAUGUUGUCUCUCUUGAGUGGAUCCUGAGUACGACGGAGCACGUGAAAUUCCGUCGGAAUCUGGGAGGACCAUCUCCUAAGGCUAAAUACUCUCUAGUGACCGAUAGUGAACCAGUACCGUGAGGGAAAGGUGAAAAGCACCCCGGAAGGGGAGUGAAAUAGAACCUGAAACCGUGUGCUUACAAGUAGUCAGAGCCCGUUAAUGGGUGAUGGCGUGCCUUUUGUAGAAUGAACCGGCGAGUUACGAUUUGAUGCAAGGUUAAGCAGUAAAUGUGGAGCCGUAGCGAAAGCGAGUCUGAAUAGGGCGUUUAGUAUUUGGUCGUAGACCCGAAACCAGGUGAUCUACCCUUGGUCAGGUUGAAGUUCAGGUAACACUGAAUGGAGGACCGAACCGACUUACGUUGAAAAGUGAGCGGAUGAACUGAGGGUAGCGGAGAAAUUCCAAUCGAACCUGGAGAUAGCUGGUUCUCUCCGAAAUAGCUUUAGGGCUAGCCUCAAGUGAUGAUUAUUGGAGGUAGAGCACUGUUUGGACGAGGGGCCCCUCUCGGGUUACCGAAUUCAGACAAACUCCGAAUGCCAAUUAAUUUAACUUGGGAGUCAGAACAUGGGUGAUAAGGUCCGUGUUCGAAAGGGAAACAGCCCAGACCACCAGCUAAGGUCCCAAAAUAUAUGUUAAGUGGAAAAGGAUGUGGCGUUGCCCAGACAACUAGGAUGUUGGCUUAGAAGCAGCCAUCAUUUAAAGAGUGCGUAAUAGCUCACUAGUCGAGUGACACUGCGCCGAAAAUGUACCGGGGCUAAACAUAUUACCGAAGCUGUGGAUUGUCCUUUGGACAAUGGUAGGAGAGCGUUCUAAGGGCGUUGAAGCAUGAUCGUAAGGACAUGUGGAGCGCUUAGAAGUGAGAAUGCCGGUGUGAGUAGCGAAAGACGGGUGAGAAUCCCGUCCACCGAUUGACUAAGGUUUCCAGAGGAAGGCUCGUCCGCUCUGGGUUAGUCGGGUCCUAAGCUGAGGCCGACAGGCGUAGGCGAUGGAUAACAGGUUGAUAUUCCUGUACCACCUAUAAUCGUUUUAAUCGAUGGGGGGACGCAGUAGGAUAGGCGAAGCGUGCGAUUGGAUUGCACGUCUAAGCAGUAAGGCUGAGUAUUAGGCAAAUCCGGUACUCGUUAAGGCUGAGCUGUGAUGGGGAGAAGACAUUGUGUCUUCGAGUCGUUGAUUUCACACUGCCGAGAAAAGCCUCUAGAUAGAAAAUAGGUGCCCGUACCGCAAACCGACACAGGUAGUCAAGAUGAGAAUUCUAAGGUGAGCGAGCGAACUCUCGUUAAGGAACUCGGCAAAAUGACCCCGUAACUUCGGGAGAAGGGGUGCUCUUUAGGGUUAACGCCCAGAAGAGCCGCAGUGAAUAGGCCCAAGCGACUGUUUAUCAAAAACACAGGUCUCUGCUAAACCGUAAGGUGAUGUAUAGGGGCUGACGCCUGCCCGGUGCUGGAAGGUUAAGAGGAGUGGUUAGCUUCUGCGAAGCUACGAAUCGAAGCCCCAGUAAACGGCGGCCGUAACUAUAACGGUCCUAAGGUAGCGAAAUUCCUUGUCGGGUAAGUUCCGACCCGCACGAAAGGCGUAACGAUUUGGGCACUGUCUCAACGAGAGACUCGGUGAAAUCAUAGUACCUGUGAAGAUGCAGGUUACCCGCGACAGGACGGAAAGACCCCGUGGAGCUUUACUGUAGCCUGAUAUUGAAAUUCGGCACAGCUUGUACAGGAUAGGUAGGAGCCUUUGAAACGUGAGCGCUAGCUUACGUGGAGGCGCUGGUGGGAUACUACCCUAGCUGUGUUGGCUUUCUAACCCGCACCACUUAUCGUGGUGGGAGACAGUGUCAGGCGGGCAGUUUGACUGGGGCGGUCGCCUCCUAAAAGGUAACGGAGGCGCUCAAAGGUUCCCUCAGAAUGGUUGGAAAUCAUUCAUAGAGUGUAAAGGCAUAAGGGAGCUUGACUGCGAGACCUACAAGUCGAGCAGGGUCGAAAGACGGACUUAGUGAUCCGGUGGUUCCGCAUGGAAGGGCCAUCGCUCAACGGAUAAAAGCUACCCCGGGGAUAACAGGCUUAUCUCCCCCAAGAGUUCACAUCGACGGGGAGGUUUGGCACCUCGAUGUCGGCUCAUCGCAUCCUGGGGCUGUAGUCGGUCCCAAGGGUUGGGCUGUUCGCCCAUUAAAGCGGUACGCGAGCUGGGUUCAGAACGUCGUGAGACAGUUCGGUCCCUAUCCGUCGUGGGCGUAGGAAAUUUGAGAGGAGCUGUCCUUAGUACGAGAGGACCGGGAUGGACAUACCUCUGGUGUACCAGUUGUCGUGCCAACGGCAUAGCUGGGUAGCUAUGUGUGGACGGGAUAAGUGCUGAAAGCAUCUAAGCAUGAAGCCCCCCUCAAGAUGAGAUUUCCCAACUUCGGUUAUAAGAUCCCUCAAAGAUGAUGAGGUUAAUAGGUUCGAGGUGGAAGCAUGGUGACAUGUGGAGCUGACGAAUACUAAUCGAUCGAAGACUUAAUCAA